UCCAUGAUAGUCUAGUGGUUAGGACGCAGGACUUUCACCCCUGUGGCCUGGGUUCAAUCCCUGGUCUGGGAA
Molecule: transfer RNA, 72 nt
Filed under: Sus scrofa (pig)
Lineage: Eukaryota; Metazoa; Chordata; Mammalia; Artiodactyla; Suidae
Rfam family: tRNA
About the family: Transfer RNA (tRNA) molecules are approximately 80 nucleotides in length. Their secondary structure includes four short double-helical elements and three loops (D, anti-codon, and T loops). Further hydrogen bonds mediate the characteristic L-shaped molecular structure. tRNAs have two regions of fundamental functional importance: the anti-codon, which is responsible for specific mRNA codon recognition, and the 3' end, to which the tRNAs corresponding amino acid is attached (by aminoacyl-tRNA synthetases). tRNAs cope with the degeneracy of the genetic code in two manners: having more than one tRNA (with a specific anti-codon) for a particular amino acid; and 'wobble' base-pairing, i.e. permitting non-standard base-pairing at the 3rd anti-codon position.
Source: Rfam by way of RNAcentral